RNAcentral lists this ribosomal RNA (246 nucleotides) under uncultured bacterium. RNAcentral describes it as "partial small subunit ribosomal RNA". It matches the Rfam family "Bacterial small subunit ribosomal RNA", at positions 26 to 289 of the family's 1533-position model. The record is from RNAcentral.
AGAAUCAACGCUGGCGGCGUGCCUAACACAUGCAAGUCGCACGAGAAAGGGUAGCAAUACCUGAGUAAAGUGGCGCACGGGUGAGUAACACGUGACUAAUCUACCCUCGAGUGGGGAAUAACUGAGAGAAAUCUCAGCUAAUACCGCAUAACACUUACGAGUCAAAGCAGAAAUGCGCUUGGGGAGGAGGUCGCGGCCGAUUAGCUAGUUGGCGGGUAAUGGCCCACAAGGCAUGAUCGGAUCCGG